This 247-nucleotide ribosomal RNA is filed under the name uncultured bacterium. RNAcentral describes it as "partial 16S ribosomal RNA". It matches the Rfam family "Bacterial small subunit ribosomal RNA", at positions 15 to 253 of the family's 1533-position model. The record is from RNAcentral.
AAUCCUGGUUCAGGAUGAACGCUAGCUACAGGCUUAACACAUGCAAGUCGCGGGGCAGCAUGAAGGAUGCUUGCAUCUUUUGAUGGCGACCGGCGCACGGGUGAGUAACGCGUAUCCAACCUGCCUGUUACCACGGCACAGCCCGUCGAAAGGCGGAUUAAUGCCGUAUGUGGUCCUUUGCGGGCAUCUAAUUAGGACUAAAGGUUCGGCGGUAACGGAUGGGGAUGCGUCCGAUUAGCUAGACGGG